UCGGGAAUUUUGGGCAAUGGGCGAAAGCCUGACCCAGCAACGCCGCGUGAGGGAUGAAGGCCUUCGGGUCGUAAACCUCUGUCGGGAGGGAAGAACGUCCACGGGGCGAACAGUCCCGGGGGCUGACGGUACCUCCAAAGGAAGCGCCGGCUAACUCCGUGCCAGCAGCCGCGGUAAUACGGAGGGCGCAAGCGUUGUUCGGAAUCAUUGGGCGUAAAGCGCGUGUAGGCGGCUUGGUAAGUCGAGUGUGAAAGCCCGGGGCUCAACCCCGGAAGGUCGCUCGAAACUGCCUCGCUCGAGUCCCGGAGAGGAAGGCGGAAUUCCCGGUGUAGAGGUGAAAUUCGUAGAUAUCGGGAGGAACACCAGCGGCGAAGGCGGCCUUCUGGACGGUGACUGACGCUGAGACGCGAAAGCGUGGGGGAGCAAACAGGAUUAGAUACCCUGGUAGUCCACGCCGUAAACGUUGGGUGCUAGGUGUCGCGGGUAUUGACCCCUGCGGUGCCGCCGCUAACGCAUUAAGCACCCCGCCUGGGGAGU
RNAcentral lists this ribosomal RNA (537 nucleotides) under uncultured Pseudomonadota bacterium. RNAcentral's name for it is "bacterial SSU rRNA". It matches the Rfam family "Bacterial small subunit ribosomal RNA", at positions 355 to 881 of the family's 1533-position model. Lineage: Bacteria; Pseudomonadati; Pseudomonadota. The record is from RNAcentral.